GUGUCAGCCGCCGCGGUAAUACGGAGGAUCCAAGCGUUAUCCGGAUUUAUUGGGUUUAAAGGGUGCGUAGGCGGACCCGUUAGUCAGUGGUGAAAGUUUGCAGCUCAACUGUAAAAUUGCCAUUGAAACUGCGGGUCUUGAGUGUAAAUGAGGUAGGCGGAAUGUGUUGUGUAGCGGUGAAAUGCUUAGAUAUAACACAGAACACCAAUUGCGAAGGCAGCUUACUGGGAUACAACUGACACUGAUGCACGAAAGCGUGGGUAUCAAACAGGAUUAGAUACCCUGGUAGUCCACGCAGUAAACGAUGAAUACUAGCUGUAUGCGAUACACCGUAUGUGGCACAGCGAAAGCGUUAAGUAUUCCACCUGGGGAGUACGUUCGCAAGAAUGAAACUCAAAGAAAUUGACGG
This 409-nucleotide ribosomal RNA is filed under the name uncultured bacterium. RNAcentral's name for it is "bacterial SSU rRNA". It matches the Rfam family "Bacterial small subunit ribosomal RNA", at positions 505 to 916 of the family's 1533-position model. The record is from RNAcentral.